RNAcentral lists this long non-coding RNA (208 nucleotides) under Drosophila guanche. The record is from RNAcentral. Lineage: Eukaryota; Metazoa; Arthropoda; Insecta; Diptera; Drosophilidae.
AUCCAAAAGUUAAAACCUUACAAAGCAAACUAUGUAUCUUACUGAUGGAAAGGCUUCCUCCGUGACAGCCAUUUUAUUAUUUUGGGAUUCCAUUUAGUUUAUUUGUUUUAAGCUUUGUCUGCAAAAUAACACCUUUGAAGUAGGAAAUACUUUUGCAUCUUUUGUUGUGUCCAAGCCAUCAAAACACGAAUAUCACAGCCAAGCUAAC